This 379-nucleotide ribosomal RNA is filed under the name uncultured Bacteroides sp. Its description in RNAcentral is "bacterial SSU rRNA". It matches the Rfam family "Bacterial small subunit ribosomal RNA", at positions 22 to 390 of the family's 1533-position model. Lineage: Bacteria; Pseudomonadati; Bacteroidota; Bacteroidia; Bacteroidales; Bacteroidaceae. The record is from RNAcentral.
GCUCAGGAUGAACGCUAGCUACAGGCUUAACACAUGCAAGUCGAGGGGCAGCAUGGUCUUAGCUUGCUAAGGCUGAUGGCGACCGGCGCACGGGUGAGUAACACGUAUCCAACCUGCCGUCUACUCUUGGCCAGCCUUCUGAAAGGAAGAUUAAUCCAGGAUGGGAUCAUGAGUUCACAUGUCCGCAUGAUUAAAGGUAUUUUCCGGUAGACGAUGGGGAUGCGUUCCAUUAGAUAGUAGGCGGGGUAACGGCCCACCUAGUCAACGAUGGAUAGGGGUUCUGAGAGGAAGGUCCCCCACAUUGGAACUGAGACACGGUCCAAACUCCUACGGGAGGCAGCAGUGAGGAAUAUUGGUCAAUGGACGAGAGUCUGAACCA